Molecule: long non-coding RNA, 228 nt
Filed under: Lathyrus oleraceus (garden pea)
Lineage: Eukaryota; Viridiplantae; Streptophyta; Magnoliopsida; Fabales; Fabaceae
Description: Pisum sativum (pea) long non-coding RNA (PSAT_LNC007995)
Source: RNAcentral
AACAUUAUUACUAUUAAAACUAAAUAUGUGAUUAGUUAAUUUGUAGUAUAUUAUUACUAUUAUUGUUAGUAAUUCUAUUAUUAUAAUUAAUUUUGUUAACGUUGCUGUUUGGGUGUGAAACGACGUCGUAGCUGGGUGUCCUAUCCUAUCUGGUUAAGAAAUGAGAAAACUUGAACAUAUGAAGUGAUGGUAAACUACAUCUUGUGAGAGAGAUUGAGAUCAACCAUG